CCGGCGGGGGAUGGGCAUGCGGCGCAUUAGCUAGUCGGCGGGGUAACGGCCCACCGAGGCGACGAUGCGUAGGGGUUCUGAGAGGAAGGUCCCCCACACUGGUACUGAGACACGGACCAGACUCCUACGGGAGGCAGCAGUGAGGAAUAUUGGUCAAUGGGCGGGAGCCUGAACCAGCCAAGUCGCGUGAGGGAAGACGGUCCUAUGGAUUGUAAACCUCUUUUGCCGGGGAGCAACGGGGUCCUUGCGAGGGCCUAAUGAGAGUACCCGGAGAAAAAGCAUCGGCUAACUCCGUGCCAGCAGCCGCGGUAAUACGGAGGAUGCGAGCGUUAUCCGGAUUUAUUGGGUUUAAAGGGUGCGUAGGCGGGCUGUUAAGUCAGCGGUCAAAUGUCGGGGCUCAACCCCGGCCUGCCGUUGAAACUGGCGGCCUCGAGUGGGCGAGAAGUAUGCGGAAUGCGUGGUGUAGCGGUGAAAUGCAUAGAUAUCACGCAGAACUCCGAUUGCGAAGGCAGCAUACCGGCGCCCUACUGACGCUGAGGCACGAAAGCGUGGGUAUCGAACAGGAUUAGAUACCCUGGUAGUCCACGCAGUAAACGAUGAAUGCUAGCUGUCCGGUUCUACGGGACUGGGUGGC
This 634-nucleotide ribosomal RNA is filed under the name uncultured bacterium. Its description in RNAcentral is "bacterial SSU rRNA". It matches the Rfam family "Bacterial small subunit ribosomal RNA", at positions 215 to 847 of the family's 1533-position model. The record is from RNAcentral.